GGAGGGUCAAAGCUCAAUGGCAGAGCAUCUGCUCCGGACACAGGAGGUCUCGGGUUCCAUCCCUGGCAUCUCCA
Podarcis lilfordi (Lilford's wall lizard) is the source of this 74-nucleotide non-coding RNA. The record is from the annotation of a GenBank genome assembly. NCBI's taxonomy places the organism in Eukaryota, Metazoa, Chordata, Lepidosauria, Squamata, Lacertidae.